UGCAUAUUUCUAUGUGAUGUUUUCCUGAUGUUUUAGGGGGUUUUUGGGGAGUUUAUUAGAGUUAUGUUUAUGUAUGUUUGGUCCCUCAUUGGAGUCCACCUGUGUAGGUUCGGACCCGAGGAACCGAGGACCUCAGCAGUGAGAUAGCUGCUUCAGAGUCUGUAGAGCCUCAGCCAGAGGUGAGUGGAAUGAACCUUAAGUUUUUAAAUAAAUGAAAUAUAACUUUUUGGAGCAUGUUCAUGCAUCAUAUAUGCCAUGUGAUAUUUUAGGUUGUUUGCAUUAGUAUUCACGAAUAUGUUGCAUUGCAUAAUAUGAUGUGGAUGCGGAUUGGCUAUUGGAUGAUCCUCUAGUCCUCCUAUGGUAUGAUAUGAUGAUGAUACGGUAUGGAUUGCCAGUGAGGCCCAUUCUACGCCCCUGGACUAUGUUAAGAGAAAGACCAGUGAGGCU
Molecule: long non-coding RNA, 447 nt
Filed under: Manihot esculenta (cassava)
Lineage: Eukaryota; Viridiplantae; Streptophyta; Magnoliopsida; Malpighiales; Euphorbiaceae
Description: long non-coding RNA (MESC_LNC001948)
Source: RNAcentral